CCGUGCAAAGGUAGCAUAAUCACUUGUCCCCUAAAUAGUGACUAGUAUGAACGGCCAAAUGAAGAUUUUACUGUCUCUUAUAGCCAAUCUAUGAAACUAAUCUAUCAGUACAAAAGCUGAUAUAUUAACAUAAGACGAAAAGACCCUGUGGAACUUCNNAAGCAUAACCCACCAUANNAUNGGACCACCUGCUUUUAGUUGGGGCAACUUUGGAAAAAAACAAAACUUCCAAUUAAAAUUAAAGAUUAACACAUCUAUAUAACACUAUCACCCGACCCAACACAUGUUGAUCAAAGAACCAAGCUACCCCAGGGAUAACAGCGCCAUCCCCUCUUAGAGCCCAAAUCGACGAGCGGGGUUUACGACCUCGAUGUUGGAUCAGGGCCCCCAAACAGUGCAA
Molecule: ribosomal RNA, 400 nt
Filed under: Pholidobolus macbrydei
Lineage: Eukaryota; Metazoa; Chordata; Lepidosauria; Squamata; Gymnophthalmidae
Description: partial large subunit ribosomal RNA
Rfam family: Bacterial large subunit ribosomal RNA
Source: RNAcentral